GUUAUAUAAUAAUGGACCUUGGUUUCCAUUUUCCAAUAUUCGAUAUGUGUACUAUAUAUUGGUAUAAUGUUAUCAGUAGCUUAUUAUUUUUGUAACUGCAUUUAUAUAGGUCAUAUAAUAUGGACCGGAAAUGGAUGUCAAAGGCUUUUAAAAAAACAGUCAUAUAACAUAAGAAAACAAAGAGGUCUUUUACAGCGCUUGUCCUUCUGCUGUGUUUCCCGUUCCUUCUACUUUGCUUCUUUUUCCAUCAUCCUUUCUUCCCUUGUUUUAUUUCCCGCACCAACGGGCAUAUUUUGAUCAAAAAGAUUCUAUAUCUAUGGGUUUUCGCCCACCAUCAAGCUUAUCUACCAAAACAUUUUUCUUUGACUCUUUAGUAUAUUGUUUACCUUCUUUUAAUGUCUCUGUUGCCACAACAGAUAAAAGAAACAAUGAACAAAGGAAACACAAAAUAAAAGCUUUGAUUUUCAUCACUACAAUUUUUAAGAAUUUAAUUGUUGUGAAACAUAUGAAUAUACUCGACAAGAUAAAUAGGUAUGAAAAUCAAAAGUAGAUUUAUUAAAUAAUAUAUUAUUUAAUUGGCUUUCGAGAAUAUUGAGCCAUUGAAGGGUUAUUGAGGUAAGUAAAGUGUGUAAACUUUGACAAUUACGAGGUUGUUUGAUAAUUUCUUUAAUAAUAAACAUAAUUCUAGGCUUUUGGUAAACAUAAUUAUCAUACGUUGUCAAUAAAAAAUAGUUAUUGACACGAUAAAAAAAAAUUACUCUUUUAAAUUUUUCUCAAUUUCCUUUGAUGUCUAUAAUUAUUAUUUAUUUAUUUUUGAUUUAGUCAUUUAAUUUAUAUCUCAUUAGCUACUUAACUUUUAAGUUAUAAUACACUUACAUAAAUAUAAUGUUAUAUUUUAUAAGUUCUGUUAAAAAUAUAUAUUGUGGCCUUUAAGAUAUUAAUAUGUGUAUAAUAGUGUUGAUGUGGCAAAAUAAAAAAAUAAAUAUAUUUUUUAAAUUCAUUUUUCUUAAAAAUAAAAAUUUUAAAAAAUUCUUCUAACCUAAAAAAUGAAAAGUCAAUGUGGUUCUUAGAAUUUUUCUAAACAAAAUAUAAAAGAUUAAUAUGAUAAUCAUUUAUUUUUAUAAUUAUCGCACUCGUAUUAUCAUACACACUACGCAAAAAAUGUCAUUUUAUAGCACGCCUUUUACGGUGCUUACUAAAUACACCGCUGUUGUAAAUAUAUUUUAAAAAUAAUGGAGCAUAUAACAUCGCUUUUUUGACAAGCGUUGUGGAUAAAGCGCUGUUGUAGGGUCAUAUAGCGUUUGCACAUAAUGUUUACAAGGCUUUUAUAGCGCUUUUACACACGCGCUGUAAAAUGAAGCGCCCUCACAUAAUGUUUGUUAGCGCUUUUUUGACAAGCGCUGUAAAAGACAUGCGCUUUCAAAUAAUUAAAUGACCUAUUACAACGCUUUUGUAACAAACGCUGUAAAAGACAUGCGCUUUCAAAUAAUUAAAUGACCUAUUAGAGUGCUUUUGUUACAAGCGCUGUAAAAGCAUCGCGCUUUCACAUUAUUAAAGGACUUAUUACAACGCUUAUUCUACAAGCGCUGUAAAAUCAUUAACUUUAAAUAAAAAUCAUUUACUUUAAAUAAAUAAAAAUAAAUUUAAAACAAAUUUAUGAACCCUCAUCACCUCUACUCUGGGAACCCUCAUCUCCUCUACGUACUGUGCGCCCAUCUACUGCUCAUCCUUUACAAAAAAUUGGAUACAUUGUCUCAGGUACGAUAUUUAUUAAUUUGUUGUUGACACGAAAACUAAUAAAUUGUUACAUAAUAAAUAUUUUCUUUUUAAAAUUUGUUGAUCUGUUCUGUUUUGAAAUUGUUACAUAAUAAUGGACCUUGGUUUCCAUUUUCCAAUAUUCGAUAUGUGUACUAUAUAUUGGUAUAAUGUUAUCAGUAGCUUAUUAUUUUUGUAACUGCAUUUAUAUAGGUCGUAUAAUAUGGACCGGAAAUGGAUGUCAAAGGCUUUUAAAAAAACAAUCAUAUAACAUAAGAAAACAAAGAGGUCUUUUACAGCGCUUGUCCUUCUGCUUUGUUUCCCUUUCCUUCUGCUUUGCUUCUUUUUCCAUCAUCCUUUCUUCCCUUGUUUUAUUUCCCGCACCAACGGGCAUAUUUUGAUCAAAAAGAUUCUAUAUCUAUGGGUUUUCGCCCACCAUCAAGCUUAUCUACCAAAACAUUUUUCUUUGACUCUUUAGUAUAUUGUUUACCUUCUUUUAAUGUCUCUGUUGCCACAACAGAUAAAAGAAACAAUGAACAAAGGAAACACAAAAUAAAAGCUUUGAUUUUCAUCACUACAAUUUUUAAGAAUUUAAUUGUUGUGAAACAUAUGAAUAUACUCGACAAGAUAAAUAGGUAUGAAAAUCAAAAGUAGAUUUAUUAAAUAAUAUAUUAUUUAAUUGGCUUUCGGGAAUAUUGAGCCAUUGAAGGGUUAUUGAGGUAAGUAAAGUGUGUAAACUUUGACAACUACGAGGUUGCUUGAUAAUUUCUUUAAUAAUAAACAUAAUUCUAGGCUUUUGGUAAACAUAAUUAUCAUACGUUGUCAAUAAAAAAUAGUUAUUGACACGAUAAAAAAAAAUUACUCUUUUAAAUUUUUCUCAAUUU
This 2639-nucleotide long non-coding RNA is filed under the name Cicer arietinum (chickpea). Its description in RNAcentral is "long non-coding RNA (CARI_LNC000511)". Lineage: Eukaryota; Viridiplantae; Streptophyta; Magnoliopsida; Fabales; Fabaceae. The record is from RNAcentral.